This 90-nucleotide microRNA precursor is filed under the name Trichuris muris. Lineage: Eukaryota; Metazoa; Nematoda; Enoplea; Trichinellida; Trichuridae. The record is from RNAcentral.
GUUAAUGAAAGAUACGGUGUCCUUGUUCAAUGAGCUUUAUUCAGCGCUGAAUAAAGCUCAUUGAACAAGGACACCGUAUCUUUCAUUAUU